Zea mays is the source of this 1601-nucleotide long non-coding RNA. RefSeq lists it as uncharacterized. The transcript is spliced from 8 exons. The record is from RefSeq and is a predicted model, not a curated record. NCBI's taxonomy places the organism in Eukaryota, Viridiplantae, Streptophyta, Magnoliopsida, Poales, Poaceae.
AACAGAACGACGGUGGAACCCUGGUCUCCUCCCUCUUCACCCGCAGCUGCACUGCAGCACACGCGCCACCGAAGCGCUCUGCCCACCUCGCUCCCCUCCAGUGGCCGCCAGCGCGGCUCAGCGGUCCAUCCUCCUGACGCCACCUGCAACGGCGUCAGGCGGUGAUCCAUUCCAACUCGCGGUAAGCUCUACCCGUCUCGCUUGGGUUGCUCGAGACCACCAAGUCCAUGCCUAAACCCAACCUUUUUUCCAUUAUAUUUAUAUGUACAAUACUACAAUUUCAAGUCCAUCCGGAUAGUCCUGGUUGGAUUUUUUCGAUACUCUGCAUAGCACCGAUCCGACUCAUCUCUAUUUCGAUUCCAUCCGCUCCGUCCUGGCAAUCACUUUGGGAAGGUGGUCAGUGGAAUAGCUUUGCUUAAAAAGCUUGAAGCAGUUGGUAGUGAAACUGGAAAUCCUUCUUAUCAAGUGAAAAUUGUAGACUGUGGUGAAGUUUCCAACACAAAUUCUCAGGAUCCGCUAAAGGGAGAUAAAGUAAGCUCAAAGACAGAUAACAGCAGUUCAGACAGUGAAAAGGGUGGCCAUCGUACCAAGCGUUCCUUACCGAAAGGAAUGAUCCAGGUGGAAGCUCCAGGAACAAUCCCAUUCAGUUUGAUGUAAAUUUAAUGAAACCAGUAAAUGUAGAUGGCAACAUUGGUGGUGAUAAUGCAGAGGCUAGCAUGUCUAGAACUGGUGAAGGAAGGCAUCUGCCAAGCAAUGAACCUUUGUCCACCAAUGGUAAAGAUUUAGGUGUGGGUUCUGCAGACAAUGGGCAACCUCAACAAAUCAGGAAAGGACGUGGUUUUACUCAGAAGUAUGGGUAUGCACGCCGAUAUAGGACGCCAUCUCCCGAGCGUCCCUCUGUUUGACCCCGCUACGAUGGAGGGAGAGAUGAUAGAUGGAACAAUUUCAAUAGGUAUGAAAGAAAUGGUCCUUACAGUAGACGCUCGCCAGUAAGGAGAUACCAUGGCUCGCCAAGAGCCAAUAGCCCAUCCAGUACUACCCAAGCCUCAACCGUUCAAAGUGUUGCUCGAAGGGGAUAUGUACAGGUGCCCAUUCUGCAAAACGCCCAAUUAUGCUGUGGAGUAUCGUGGCAUCAAAACAAAGGAGUAAAGGAGCAUAGAGCAGUUUACAGACAAUUGAAAAAGAGAAUUGAUCUUUUUUAUGGGCGAAGUGUUGAAGAUGGCUUUGGUGAAGGAAAUGUCUUGUUAGCAUCAAGUAAGUGGCGACAUCACAACCCCUACAAGCUUGUGCCUUAAAACAAGAGGAUACAAGAAGUUGGAGUGCUUUUGUGAAGGCUUUUACGAAUCACUUGAAGUGUUAGUACUUUUGUGAAUGAUUUUGUAAAGUGUUUGCAAAUAUGUGCAAAACAUAAUAACAUGUGUAGGUUUUGUGAAUGAUUUUGUUGUGGUGCUUGUUGAUGGUUUAUGUGAUGUGGAUCUACCAUUGUGCAAUACUAAUUAAAUUUGUAUAUCUAUGUGAUUAUGUGUAUAAAAAUUGGUGAUUUGUGAUGCUUUUGUAUAUAUAACAGUUGUUGAAUGCUAAUUAAUGGUAUAUUAUCAUUA